This 550-nucleotide ribosomal RNA is filed under the name Philautus aurifasciatus (Java bubble-nest frog). Its description in RNAcentral is "partial 16S ribosomal RNA". It matches the Rfam family "Bacterial large subunit ribosomal RNA", at positions 1832 to 2597 of the family's 2925-position model. The record is from RNAcentral. Lineage: Eukaryota; Metazoa; Chordata; Amphibia; Anura; Rhacophoridae.
CGCCUCUUGAUUAUUAAUAAGAGGUCCAGCCUGCCCAGUGAUAAUAUUCAACGGCCACGGUACCCUAACCAUGCGAAGGUAGCAUAAUCACUUGUUCUUUAAAUAAGGACUCGUAUCAACGGCACCACGAGGGUUAUACUGUCUCCUCUCCCCAAUCAGUGAAACUGAUCUCCCUGUGAAAAAGCAGGGAUAACAUUAUAAGACGAGAAGACCCCAUGGAGCUUUAAACCCCAAGCAACUUUACUACACAUUUCAUUUUAUUUACUAAAUUAUUGCCUACCGGUUUUAGGUUGGGGCGACCGCGGAGUAAAAAACAACCUCCAUAACGAAAAAACCUUAAUUUUUAUCUAAGAUCUACUACUCAAAGAAUUAGAAAACUAACGUACUAUGACCCGACAACGAUCAACGAACCAAGUUACCCUGGGGAUAACAGCGCAAUCUACUUCAAGAGCUCAUAUCAACAAGUAGGUUUACGACCUCGAUGUUGGAUCAGGGUAUCCCAGUGGUGCAGCCGCUACUAACGGUUCGUUUGUUCAACGAUUAAAACCCU